AUGCCGCAUUUCAAGAUGAUUUUUAUUGCCCACAGACUAGGAGAUUCCCAGGCAGAGGAACCCCAUGGGUCACCAGCGCAGCUGUUUUGGCUGAUGCGGCUGUUUUGCCGGAGCCCUGGCACAGCAGUUCUCCAUACCAAAUACACGGGUCUGGGUGCUGUUUUAGCUUGCGAUUGGAGCUCCAGGGAGGCAGAGUUGUCCAUUCAUCUGAUUAAAAAGGGGACUGAAACAGGGAGCCAGGCCAGGAGAUUUCUGGGCAGAAAAGCGCCACGAAUCUUAGUGCCGCUGUUUCAGCUGGCACAGUGGGUCUCUGCAUGGGAAAUCACACAGAUCCCAGCGCCUUUUCAACAGAAACAGUUUACUAGAACUGUGCUCUUCUGCCUGAGUGAGGACAAGAAGAACAUCAUCCUGGAGGAGGGCAAGGAGAUCCUGGUGGGCAAUGUGGGCCAAACUGUCAAUGACCCCAUGCCACCUUUGUCAAGAUGCUGCCAGAUAAGGAAUGCCUCUAUGCCUUUUAUGAUGCAAGCUAUGAGACCAAGGAGAGCAAGAAGGAGGACCUGGUGUUUAUCUUCUGGGCUCCUGAGUCUGCGCCCCUUAAGAGCAAAAGGAUCUAUGCCAGCUCGAAGGACACCAUCAAGAAGAAGCUGACAGGGAUCAAGCAUGAAUUGCAAGCAAACUGCUACGAGGAGGUCAAGGACCGCUGCACCCUGGCAGAGAAGCUGGGGGGCAGUGCCGUCAUCUCCCUGGAGGGCAAGCCUUUGUGAGCCCCUUCUGGGCCCCUGCCUGGAGCAUCUGGCAGCCCCACACCUGCCCUUGGGGGUUGCAGUCUGCCCCCUUCCUGCCAGACCAGAGGGGCUGGGGGAAUCCCAGCAGGGGGAGGGCAAUCCCUUCACCCCAGUUGCCAAACAGACUCCCCACCCCCUGGAUUUUCCUCCUCCCUCCAUCCCUGACAGUUCUGGCCUUCCCAAACUGCUUUUGAUCUUCUGAUUCCUCUUGGGUUGAAGCAGACCAAGUUCCCCUGAGGCCUCCCAGUUGUGGGGGGAGCCUGUAUUUUUUUUUUAACAACAUACCCAAUCCCCACUUGUUCCUCCCCCUUCCCAUGCUGUCAACUUCUAACCGCAAUAGUGACUCUGUGCUUGUCUGUUUAGUUCUGUGUAUAAAUGGAAUGUUGUGGAGAUGAA
RNA transcript from Cebus imitator (Panamanian white-faced capuchin), 1181 nucleotides. It is a transcript of the gene named cofilin-1-like, with no coding region annotated. The record is from RefSeq and is a predicted model, not a curated record. Lineage: Eukaryota; Metazoa; Chordata; Mammalia; Primates; Cebidae. The transcript is spliced from 2 exons.